UGGCCAUGCACAGUUUAAGGUAACGGAG
Molecule: non-coding RNA, 28 nt
Filed under: Rattus norvegicus (Norway rat)
Lineage: Eukaryota; Metazoa; Chordata; Mammalia; Rodentia; Muridae
Source: RNAcentral